AGAACGAACGCUGGCGGCAGGCUUAACACAUGCAAGUCGAACGGUUGUAGCAAUACAGCAGUGGCGCACGGGUGAGUAACGCGUGGGAACAUUCCUUUCAGUCGGGAAUAACAGCGGGAAACUGCUGCUAAUACCUGAUACUCCCUCCGGGGGAAAGAUUUAUCGCUGAAAGAUUGGCCCGCGUCAGAUUAGCUAGUUGGUGGGGUAAUGGCCUACCAAGGCUCCGAUCUGUAGCUGGUCUGAGAGGACGACCAGCCACACUGGAACUGAGACACGGUCCAGACUCCUACGGGAGGCAGCAGUGGGGAAUAUUGGACAAUGGGCGCAAGCCUGAUCCAGCCAUGCCGCGUGCGGGAAGAAGGCCUUCGGGUUGUAAACCGCUUUUGUCAGGGAAGAACGCUCCAGAUUAAUACCUUGGAGUAAUGACGUACCUAGAAGAAUAAGCACCGGCUAACUACGUGCCAGCAGCCGC
RNAcentral lists this ribosomal RNA (472 nucleotides) under uncultured bacterium. RNAcentral describes it as "SSU rRNA". It matches the Rfam family "Bacterial small subunit ribosomal RNA", at positions 26 to 518 of the family's 1533-position model. The record is from RNAcentral.